AUUGAACGCUGGCGGCAGGCCUAACACAUGCAAGUCGAGCGGAUGAAGGGAGCUUGCUCCUGGAUUCAGCGGCGGACGGGUGAGUAAUGCCUAGGAAUCUGCCUGGUAGUGGGGGAUAACGUCCGGAAACGGGCGCUAAUACCGCAUACGUCCUGAGGGUGAAAGUGGGGGAUCUUCGGACCUCACGCUAUCAGAUGAGCCUAGGUCGGAUUAGCUAGUUGGUGGGGUAAAGGCCUACCAAGGCGACGAUCCGUAACUGGUCUGAGAGGAUGAUCAGUCACACUGGAACUGAGACACGGUCCAGACUCCUACGGGAGGCAGCAGUGGGGAAUAUUGGACAAUGGGCGAAAGCCUGAUCCAGCCAUGCCGCGUGUGUGAAGAAGGUCUUCGGAUUGUAAAGCACUUUAAGUUGGGAGGAAGGGCAGUAAGUUAAUACCUUGCUGUUUUGACGUUACCAAAAGAAUAAGCACCGGCUAACUUCGUG
This 484-nucleotide ribosomal RNA is filed under the name uncultured bacterium. RNAcentral describes it as "partial 16S ribosomal RNA". It matches the Rfam family "Bacterial small subunit ribosomal RNA", at positions 30 to 507 of the family's 1533-position model. The record is from RNAcentral.